UCUCCUGGAAACGGGUGGUAAUGCCGGAUGCUCCGCCCCCUCGCAUGGGGGGUCGGGAAGGCUUUUGCGGAAUGGGAUGGGGUCGCGUCCUAUCAGCUUGUUGGCGGGGCGACGGCCCACCAAGGCUUCGACGGGUAGCCGGCCUGAGAGGGCGACCGGCCACAUUGGGACUGAGAUACGGCCCAGACUCCUACGGGAGGCAGCAGUGGGGAAUAUUGCACAAUGGGGGGAACCCUGAUGCAGCGACGCCGCGUGCGGGAUGGAGGCCUUCGGGUCGUGAACCGCUUUUGAUUGGGAGCAAGCGUGAGUGAGUGUACCUUUCGAAUAAGCACCGGCUAACUACGUGCCAGCAGCCGCGGUAAUACGUAGGGUGCAAGCGUUGUCCGGAAUCAUUGGGCGUAAAGGGCUCGUAGCGGUUCGUCGCGUCCGGUGUGAAAGCCCAUCGCUUAACGGUGGUCUGCGCCGGUACGGCGGGCUUGAGUGCGGCAGGGAGGCUGGAAUUCCCGGUGUACGUGGAAUGUGUAAAUAUCGGAAGACACC
Molecule: ribosomal RNA, 540 nt
Filed under: uncultured Bifidobacterium sp.
Lineage: Bacteria; Bacillati; Actinomycetota; Actinomycetes; Bifidobacteriales; Bifidobacteriaceae
Description: bacterial SSU rRNA
Rfam family: Bacterial small subunit ribosomal RNA
Source: RNAcentral